AGUGAACGCUGGCGGUAGGCCUAACACAUGCAAGUCGAACGGCAGCACAGUAAGAGCUUGCUCUUGCGGGUGGCGAGUGGCGGACGGGUGAGGAAUACAUCGGAAUCUACUUUUUCGUGGGGGAUAACGUAGGGAAACUUACGCUAAUACCGCAUACGACCUACGGGUGAAGGCAGGGGAUCUUCUGACCUUGCGCGAUUGAAUGAGCCGAUGUCGGAUUAGCUAGUUGGCGGGGUAAAGGCCCACCAAGGCGACGAUCCGUAGCUGGUCUGAGAGGAUGAUCAGCCACACUGGAACUGAGACACGGUCCCGACUCCUACGGGAGGCCGCAGUGGGGAAUAUUGGACAAUGGGCGCAAGCCUGAUCCAGCCAUACCGCGUGGGUGAAGAAGGCCUUCGGGUUGUAAAGCCCUUUUGUUGGGAAAGAAAAGCAGCAGGUUAAUCCCCCGCUGUUCUGACGGUACCCAAAGAAUAAGCACCGGCUAACUUCGUG
This 492-nucleotide ribosomal RNA is filed under the name uncultured bacterium. Its description in RNAcentral is "partial 16S ribosomal RNA". It matches the Rfam family "Bacterial small subunit ribosomal RNA", at positions 29 to 507 of the family's 1533-position model. The record is from RNAcentral.